Molecule: long non-coding RNA, 224 nt
Filed under: Elaeis guineensis (African oil palm)
Lineage: Eukaryota; Viridiplantae; Streptophyta; Magnoliopsida; Arecales; Arecaceae
Description: long non-coding RNA (EGUI_LNC022802)
Source: RNAcentral
GUUCAGAUUCACUAUUUAGAGUAGGAUACACCUAGAUGAAAUCUAUCAACCUUAAUAGAAAAAGAGAAGUUCUAUGCAAUUCGUAAGACUGAGUUCAAAAAAUCUCUGACUAGAAUAAGUGUGAAUACUAAAAAAGAGUUUUCACGAGAUUCACAAAUGAAUUCAAGUUGAGCCAAUCUAGCAUAUGACUGACAAUGGAAUUUGACAAGUUCUCUAUGACCUCC